Molecule: long non-coding RNA, 9511 nt
Filed under: Prunus persica (peach)
Lineage: Eukaryota; Viridiplantae; Streptophyta; Magnoliopsida; Rosales; Rosaceae
Description: long non-coding RNA (PPER_LNC001445)
Source: RNAcentral
UUGCUCCAACCUGUAGCUGCCAAAAUGUAGGUAAGCAACAGCCUACAUUACGGGUCCAAUAAUGUACAAUUUUGGCAAAGUCCAAUUACUUUAAUGAUGGAAUGAUUGUAUAGUUAAAUCUUACUUAAUAAGAUAAGAGUGAGAGUCAAAUUUAUACGGUGCAUAUUUAUUUCAUGUGUCAAUGCCAAUUAUAUUACAUAUUUUAAUUGAAUAAUACGGACCAUUUAACUUGACACAUGCAAAAUUAUAGAUGAGCUUGUAAUUGUAACAUUAAGAUUCACACAAAAAACGAAACUCACAAUAUUUAGCUGAAUGGAAAAUGUUUUCAAGAUGCAUCUAUCAUAAGUUCUAGCUGUGAACAUUAUUAUAUGGCAGUGUCCCAUCCCAUGGUCUCCCCAAGACUCACAACCCAACAUUUUCUUUUUCUUUUUCUUUUUCUUUUAUUUUUUUAUUUUUAUAAAACGCAACCCAACUUUAAAAAUAUGAUCCAUAAUUGCAUAUUGUCAAACCAACAGUGAAAAAAAAAAAAAAAAAAAGGGAAGCAGGAACCGACGCUCUAGAUUCAACAAUUUUAUUUGGUCAACACACAAAUAUUUAAGCUUGGCUUAUAUACGGUCUAUAAUCGGCCACAGGAACCGGACAUCAAGGACAAUUGUCUGAUAACGUGAAAUCCACGACUCUGGUUAAACUUACCAUGGUUAGUUCACUAUAACCAUACUACAACGAACCGGUUCACCAGAAAAAUAAAAUUAAAAAAUUAAAAAAUUAAAAAAAGGUAAAGGAUGAAUAAAAAAAUAAUUGGGUAAUGCAAAUUAUUGCCACUUAACGGAGUAGUAGAUUCUGUUAGAUUCAUUUGACGAGGCGAAGAGGGGGCGCAUAGUAAGAACGUUGUAACGAGGUUUAAAAGAGACGGAGCUGACGGUUUAAGAUAGGGAGACGCGGGAGCCGUUGGAUUGUUGAUCAAGGGCCGAUAAUGCAAGGCGUUGGACGGUUCAAGUGUGACGGAGAGUGGGAGGGGUCGUAUAAAGCCUGGGUUUUGAAAGGUGAGAGUGCAUUUCGUUCCAUCAAAACAAGAAGAAGAAAGAGGAAGAAGAAGGAGAAAGAGCCUCUCUGACGUUUUGGCCUUCGGUUUUUCUUCUGCUUUAGAAUUUAAAGAGGAAUUCGGGAGAGAAUUCGUAGAGCUGGACUGUGUGUAAUGUUAAGGAUCUAAUUACGAAGCUUUUCUGUGAGCCUGUUGUGUGUUCGCGGGAGAGAGAAGGAGAGAAGAGCUUGCAGAGGUUGGUGAUGGAGAAAACAGAGCUCGAUUUUGGUAGUUUUAAUGUAAUCUGAUUUCUUAGAAUGACCGGGUUAUUUUGUGCAAUUUCUGUUUUGCAGAUACAUUCAGAAGAGCUUUUGGAGGAAUUUGAAGUGAAAUCGAUUGCGAUUUGCUGGGAUAAUUUCCAAGGUGGACCUCAUUUCAUUGAAAUUUACAGAGAAAAGGUCGAGAAAUCUAGUUUAGAGGUGAGGGGAGUUGGAUUUGCUUAAUUUCCUAAACGAUUUCACUCCCUUAUUCUAACUCAUCGUUCGUUUGAUUUUGGUUUCACAGGUACAUUUCCCGGAGAUUUGACCCCUUUUUUUUGAAGAAAUCUCAACUGGGGUAUGAGAUAAAGAAGAACAAGCAUCUCUCAUUCAUGAGUGUCAGGGACAUAGGCUCUAAGUUUCAAUCAUUUCGUUGAUUUUCGGCUCUAGAUUUGCAUUUUGCAAAGUCAGAAGGCCUAGAAGAGCAAGAUUACCCAAAAGAAGCAAACUUUCUUUUGCAAAUUCAGGAUUGUAGCUGCUUGCGAAAUCUCAGUAUAACAGGUGAGGAUUCAUUUUCCGAAUCCUAGAUCAGUGAAACCAAGUCUCGGGCUUAGGAUUUCACUGGCUGAUUUGAUUUCCUUCCAUUUUCGGUUCUUCGAAUUUUGAUAUCUUUCUACUCAAUUUGGUUUCUUCAAGGAGGCUCUCACUUUUCUCUUCUUUUUCCUCAUCUGCAGCAGAGUCCAAGCAAUUGGUUUCUCUGUUUUUUGAUUUUCGAUGUUCAAAAGCAGAUAACUUUGCAACAGAAUUUUAAGCUUUUCAAAUGAAGCCAGCCGAGUUCCUUGACUCUCUCUCUCUCUCUCUCUCUCUCUCUCUCUCUCUCUCUCUCUCGCUCGCUGGGUCUUACAUUUGGAUCCAUCAUCUUUGUCCAUCAUCUUCUUUCAAUUUUCUGUCAUCUGCCUUCUGUGCAAGAAUUUUCAAUUUCAAAAAACUAAUUGACCUUUAUAUUUGGGAAGAUUAUCUCUUCUUCUUCGUCUUCUUCUUCUUCCUCUCCUCCUCCUCCCCAUUUUAAAGGCUUUUAAUAUAUUUUUCUGAAUGAUUUCCGUCUGUAUUAUCAGCAUUGAAAAGAAAAGACCUUCUCUAUGAAAUUUUACCCGCUGUUUUGUGAAAAAUCUAUCUAUCUUUGGUGUUCUUUGCUGGCAGUCCGAAGUUUGUGUCUUUUCCGAAAUUCAAACACCAGCAGAGUGCAAAAUCUUCUGUUUGGUUCUCGGGAAACUGAUACAAGAAAAAACUGAGCUAACAGACGUAAUUGCUCAACUUAUUUAAUCGCAAUUCGUUGGAAGCGUCUGAUAAAAAAAAUAUAUAUAUAUAUCAAAGAUACAAUUUUCAUUCUUUGUCCUUUCCCUGCCUUUUUUUUUUUUCGAUCUUCAUCUUCUCCGUCUGUUUGGGUAGGCCCUGCUUUUCAUUUGAAUUUUAUUUUUAGGCACUCGCAGUUGCAGAGAGCCAGCCACAAUCCAAUUCCAGAUUCUCAGUUUUUGCCAUUUCCGUCCCUAACUUUAAUUAUGAGCAUUAACCGCGGUUAAAGUGUAAAAAAUCAUGUUAACUAACUAACCGCUGUGAUUAAUUCUUGUUUUGGCAUGGGUGGACAGGUGUACAAAAGGAGAUGGAAAGGGACUGUCUUAGGCACACCCAUACUAAAGACACCCACAAUCCCAACACUCGAGACAAAACCGGAGGGGACGCCUCAGCCUCUCUGCUGUUGAGAGCGAGCCCCGAUGCCAUACGACACGCAACGACGUCGUCCGAUUUCGUUUUGCAGUGGGGGAACCGCAAGCGCCUCAGGUGUAUGAAGAUCCAGGUCAAAGACAAGGGCAAAGACGACUCCGACGCCCCGGUUACCCGAACCACAGUCCGGGUCGACCGCCGGGUCGUCCGACCUGAUAAGGACCCGGCCAAUCAGCCUUCCACGGCCGGUAACUCUAAUCAGACGAAUGGGUAUUUGAAUCUCCGUCAACGGCCGUUAUCUCCGCAGCAGCCGCCACUUCAGCGUGUUCUCAGGUUACCACUUGCACUUCACGCUUUUGCUUUAUCUAAUCUAUAUCUAUUGCUUCCACGGGACGUCGUUUCGGUCCUGCCUUUCGUUAACAUGUAGUUUCGUCGUUUUGUGGGGUAGUUGUGGUGGCGUUUUGUCGUUUAAAUUAGUGGCGGGUGGGCCAGGUGCGUGGGUUUUGUCGUUUUUAGUUAUUUUGGGACUUGUUGCCUACGGUUACAUCUGUACAGUUUUGGUGCGGUUUUUAUAUAUACCUUGAUCUCACCGUCAGAUGCAUGAGUCAUAAUCAUCAGAUCAGGAGAUUUUAUAUUCAGACUUGCUUGAUUUUAGAUUUUAGAUUUGUGAGGAAAAAUCUCAGAUGAUUGCGUGGCCAAUUUCUCUACGUCUGUGAAGGUCAAAGAGAAUAAUUUUGUUAGGUAAGUGUUUGUUGCUUUGAUUAGAUUAUUUCAUAUGCAACAAUAGAGUGAUUGCAAAUUCUGUUAUCUUCUUCCUUGUUUGGUUGAAGAGAAAAUCUUGUUUGCGUGAAGGGAAAAUCUCUGAUUUUCUUGUGCAAAUUUGUCGCUUUAGAUUGGAUUGAUUUAUAUGAGUGGGACUGGAUAAAUGGAUAAGGCUAGAAAGCAUGGAAUUUUGUCCCACACCACUGGUUUUUUAUAUUCCUGGCCUGCCAUUAACAUGGCUGUGUUUAAUCCUAUGUGCUUAAUGUGUAGUUGAAUGAAAUUUUGUCGGAGGGUUUUUGAGAUUAGGAGUUUUAAUGAUGAAAUUUGGGGCUGAAUUUGUUGUGAGGCUUAUCUUAAUGAUCAACUCUCCAAUUGGUCAGGUGGGUGAAGAGAUGUAAAAGCCCCAGAAGGAGAGCUCAUGGUAAGUGCAUGAGGGUAGGGUGCCUUCUUUGUUUGUCUUUGUAGGAAACUAGUAGCAUAUGAUUGAAUUAGGUUGCUCAUGUAGUCAUGUAAUCUUUUUGGCUUGAUUGUGCACAACAUAAAACACAUUAACAUAACAAACAACUUAAAUUAGAGAAAGAGAGAGUCUUAGUGCCAUAAGGUCAAGCAUUUACCCUCACAUUCACGGCAAGAGUUUGAUUCUUCCUCGUUCGUGUUUUUCAGGAUGCGGUAUUAAAUUAUGGUAUCAUACAGGAUGGUGUAUCAAUAAGUUGAUGUCAAGCAUGAUUGAUUUGAUACUAGUUCUAGUUUUCUUUUUUGGAAUAAAUGCCUUAUUUAUUGUGAUUGAUUUGUUAUUUAUUUUAGACACGAUGUUAGGGCUGAUUUGAUCAUAAAUCUAGAAUGAUUAGGCUUGAGUAAAUUGAUUUCCACUAGGACUUGUGUAGCAGGCUUAUGUUGCUCAUGGUCACACCGGAUCGGGGCUCCACUACAUCUUAGCAUGAUAGCGUCCGAUCCAUAACGACCGGCACCCUGAUUCCAUGGGCUCAGUGGAAAUAGGAAAUGGGCAACUCCUAUUCCACGUGUCCACGGAAAACCAAUUCUUCAACCCCGUUUCUAGCCCUGGGAUCACUGAUGGAUCAGGCAAUGGAUCCACGCCUUCCACGUUUCAACACGUGUUCCUUAACCCCACAAAAGGCACUCUCAAUCCAACGGCUAAAAUCCUGCCCAAAAACCAGCUGUGCACGUUAUACAGUACAUCACAUCCCUUUCCUCUCUCUCUCUCUCUCUCUCUCUCUCUCUCUCAAAUAUCUAACUUUUCAUUAAAGAAAAGAAAAUUAACAACUCCCUCGUUUAAAAGCAGAACACAAAGGUCCCCCAAAGAAGCCAAAAACCACGCUAAUUUUCUACGCAAAACCCAUUACAAAGCCUCUCUCUCUCUCUCUCUCUCUCUCUCUCUCUCACACCAAUCCACCGAUCUAGAUCGUCUCAAGGCCAUUCCCGUAAUUUCACAACUACCCACAUUAAUUUAAUUUAAUUUAAUUUUUUGCCCAAAAAGUAUCAUUUAUUAUGUUUUGUGCCAGCUUUUUUAUGGGUUUAUUGAAUUCAAUUGAUUUGAUUUGAUUUGAUUUUGAUAUGCGUAUCUGAAUUGUGUAGAAACUCAGAGACCACAACAAGUGCCAUGAGAGGCCAGAGCAACGGAGGCUUGAGGGGAAUUGUUUCACCCGACAACAGAGGGGGUGCGCACGAUAAGAAAGGCAACCACCACCAUCACAACCACCACCACCAUAAUAAUGAGAAUAACAACACCAAGUCUGCAGCUUCUUCGGACACGGCGCACGAUAGUAAAAAGGGGGGAGGUGGGUCUUCAUCGGGAAGCGGCGAAGCAGCGUUGGCGCCACCGAUGGUCUGGCCGCCGAAGUUCGUGAUUGCUUUGACCAACAAAGAGAAAGAAGAGGACUUCAUGGCAAUCAAAGGGUCAAAAUUGCCUCAGAGACCCAAGAAGAGAGCAAAGUUCAUUCAACGCACCCUCAAUGUAAGCUCCUCUAUUUUCCUUUUUUAGUUACUUUAUUAAUUAAUUAGUAUUAAUUAAAACUAACUAGUUUUUUUUAUUUUUUUUCUUUCUCUUUUUAAAAUAACACCAUUGCCUUGCAAAAACAAAUCAAAACCCAGUUUGAUUUUAUUAUAUUUAUAUGGUUGUUUUACCUGUAUUUAUGCAAAUUGUUGUUGCGACAAAAUGUGGACUAGCUUAGAAGGAAGGAAAAGCAAAAAAUAAUAAAAUAAUAGAAUAAUAAAUAGAACUUUCUGGUAUUUGUUUAGUUUGGGUUAAAAGAAGCCGAAGAAGAUUGCUAAAGUGACAGCAAGAACAAGGCAUACACGUGUCCGCCAAGCCAUGUAUGCAUAUACCUAAUAUGCCUAAAAGUUAGUUUGCUGUCCGACUGGAAUAGUAUUAAUAGGACGAUGGUUUGGGUUAAGAUUAAAUUCUAUAUUAUUCAUAAUAAUAUGAUAAUGAAAUAUUUUAUUUAGGGUCGCCUCGUUUAGUGGAAAAUUGAUGUCACACGUGGCAAUACAUGGUUGUUGCUUUUGGGUUGGUUAUCGUGGCGAUGGACGGUGCGUGGCGUCUCAUGUGGCCGCAUGUGAUUUAGUGGGCAUCAGUGGACGUUUAAAGCAAGUGGGCCUUAAUUCUGUACUAACCGACAAAAAAAGGGCAUAUGGGUCGAAACGGACCCUGGGCCUGUUACCGUUGGUUUUUUUUUGGGGGGUUCUUUUUGGGAAAUAAUAUGCUUCAUGUUGAGGGCAUAUAGGUAUUUUCACUAGCCCUUAAUUAUGCUAACUGUUUUCUGGCUUGGACCGCACUGCCAACUGCUGAGCACAAAAGCACGAAAGCUGACUACCCACAAUGCACCGUUUUCGUUUUUUAAGUUCCAAACAUAGCAAAACUCAUCAAAGUGCUUAUCAAAAAGCCUAUCCCGCUUUUUGCCCAUUACCUAAAGCAAAAGCUACGCUUUUGCCAGUCUGUUUUUGCUUGUUUUGGCCUCUUCCUUUUAAUUAGCUGGAAGAUUAUUGUUCUAAUUAGUUUUUUAUUUUCUGUAAUUUUGUUUUAUAGCUGGUAAGCCCAGGAGCAUGGCUCUGUGAUCUGACCCUAGAACGGUACGAGGUCAGAGAGAAGAAGAUUUCCAAGAAGGUAUUUUAUUGAGUAAUUUUCUUCGAUUCAGGGCCUAAAUCAAAUUUCCUUAAUUUGCCUUUAAUGUUGAUAUUUUUAUGCAGCAGAAUGAAUAGUUUUUUUGUGUUUUUGCAUGAUGCUGCAGAGACCAAGAGGGCUAAAGGCGAUGGGCAACGUGGAGUCUGACUCUGAAUAGAAAGGAGUUUUAGUGAAAAGACUAAUAUAGCAUUUUCGUUUUUUUUCUCCUCCUUUUUUUGAAGGUAUGAGAAAAAUGUUAGAACUUUGUAAAAAUCUUCACCUUUCAACCAUCAGAAUAAUGAAUGGAUUCAUUUCCGGUCCUGUAUACAGUCUUGUUCCUCAUCUUCCUACUAAGUUUGUUUAAUCAGAACAAGAAAAAAAAAACAAAUCAUCACGUCCAAGCACACGAACAAAUGAAAUUUCUCUCUUUCAAACCCUAAUUGUGAAAAAUAAUUAAAAUAAGCUUCAGGGAUGUAAUUCAAGUGGUUAGUCAUGACAUGUUACACAAUCCAACAAUUUUUUGUUUUCUUGUCAACCUACAACACAUUUUCUUAUGUCGUAUUAAGUUAGAAAAGGGAAUUAACGGUGUUGGAUAGUCGUCCAAACGCACGUGAGUGUCUUAUGAUUGUUCAUAUAUUAACAUAUGGGUCUCAGUCUAACAUACAUCGAUGACUUACGGUGGAAGUGCUCAUUAGGCAUGGGCAAAAUCAGUUUCAGACUUCACCAUCCGAGUGAAAAAGAAACUCGAGACUCGAUCGCUCUCAAGAUGUGAAGAAAAUCACGAAAUUGACUCUUGAGACGAGAUUUGAGACUCUUUAGAGGUUAGACUUCAAGAAGGAAGAAGAAAAACAACAAACCAUAACUCUCUUUAGCUGACACACGUAACGUAAAACCACAAUAUAUGAAUUUGCAAAGCUAUUAAAGACAAUGACAUCUAAAAAUUUACCCGAGACAGGAGAAAAACCAGAACCCCAACUCCCUAAAGUUACCUAGUCAUUAGCAAAUUGAAGGGCCACGUCUAAUUUAUAAUGAUAAGAGAUAAUAUCAUUGUUUGGUCGCAUGAUUUGUGGAUGCCACUUUACAUUAUGUGGCCUCCUUAAUUGGUAUUUUGAUGUGACACGGAACACUUAACGCGGUAAUUUAAUUUCUUAACGUAAUUGACAAUUUCAAUGAAAAUCCAUGACCUAUCAUAUCAGACCACCAAACCAAACCCAACUGAAUUAAACUAUUGGAAGAGGAGAAAACAUGGGUCCUAAUUCAAAUUAACAUUCAUAAUUCGCCAUCAUUGACGGGAAGACCCGAAUUAAUCCCCUUAAUUAUGCCACGAAGAAGCAUAAACACAUUUUAAGAAUAACAUCUGCUCUGUGAGAGUUUGUGGAGACAGACAGAUCCACCACCCACCAUCCAGCUGGUUCUCAAAAGGCAAUUCUAAUGCUACCUGCGGGUCGUGAAGAAAAGAGGAAGAUUUUUCAAUUUAAUUAGCCCCCAAAAAAUAGCAUGGAAAAUACCCCCAAAGGGCCCUAAAUAUACCCUUACCCACUGGGCAUAUUUGUCAAUAAACACUGAAAUUAGGGAUUUUUUCAGGACCCAAACACAAUUGCUAUAGUCGGUGACCCAGAGCCUAUCAAAUUAUAAACUCAUUACGUGUUGCAGUUGGAAUUACAGCUUUAUUCUGUUAGAAUAAAUGAUUAAUUUACACCGACUUGGCUACGCCGCUUUUUUGGUCCAAGCGAAAAUAAAAUAAUUGGAUCUGGAUUUGUAAUUUGCCGCUUUUUAUUUGCAGGUAAUGAAAAUGAAAUAACAAUUUGGAUAUUAGUUAAUUUUGAUAUCACAAGCUAGACAAACACCAUUCUCAAAGCAACUCAAGCAUCAAACACAGGAGGAGGAGGAGGAGGAAGACAAACGAAAUAAAAUCAAUGAAUUAUUUACUCAUAAUAAGGAUAAUAAUCGAAAUCCACAAAUACAAAACCCAUAGUAAUAAACCAAGUGCAUUAUAUAUGUAGUCUAUGCACCACAAAAACCCAUAUGACACUGAAAAUCCUAUAGAUCCAUAAUCACCAGCUACUAAAAUGACAAACGCUACUAAUAAAAAACCAAUCAGAAACCCAACCGCUCUCUACACAGCCCCAACCAUAGUUGCAGUAGUAAGCGAAGACUCAAACCCUGAGCGCAGAUCCGAAGACGAUAGCGGCGAAGGCGGCGGCGAAAGCAGAGAUGAACGACGGGGAGAUGGAGGCGGAUGCGGAGGUUGGGCUAGGAGCUGGAGAUUCGGCGGCCUGAGCGGCGCCGAUGACAGAAAGGACGGUGACGAAGACCGCCAUGAGAGCCACGAGUGAAGUUGCCUUUGAGACUGCCAUUGUUGAUUGGUGUGAGAGUUUCUUGUGCUUCGGAAUCUAGGGUUUUGGGAAUACGCCGAGAGACUGAAGCACAAAUAUCAGAGGUGGAAUGAAGUAGGCUCAAGGAACGUAUUUAUAGCGGGGAUUUUGGGCUGGGGUCGGGCAGCCUGGGCAGCUGCCCGGUUCUACAGGCUGGCUACUUGUGAUUGGUUCAGCGCGACAGCUCACACCGCUGGUCGGGGUAAAUUUUUCUCUGUGGGCCCCACUAGAAACCAGUGUCUACGCGGAGUCGUUU